UGGGCUGCAGCGCGGGGGGUGAAGGCAGCGGGCGGAACCAAUCGCAUUCCUGCUGGAGGGCAUAUUUAAGACAAAAAUGGCAAUUGUAAAGAACUUGAGCAGAACCCUUAGUCAGUUGCUACAGAGUCCCGGUUGUGGAUGUCAGACUUCCAUUGUGCCAGUUAGAUGUAUUGGUGUCUCACCACGUCAGGUGACCUCAGAUGCCAGCUUUCAUUCAGUAUCUUUUUCAGAGACUGAUCAUCCUCGAGUGUUAAUUACAGGGGGCCUGGGCCAACUUGGGGUGGGACUCGCUAAACUCUUGAGGUAUGUUACGAUUUUGUAAUUUUAUACAUAGUAAGAAGUUAAAAACCCCACGAUCAAGAUUUUCAGAAGUGACUAGUUACGUUGAGUGUCUCAAGUUGAGCAUCCAAAAUCUUAUGAAAACUGUAGCUAAGAAUCUUAGAAUGCUGAAUGGGACAUUUAAAAGUCCAUAUUUUAAAAUAUCCUUAGAAUUGCUGCUAUUACUUCAGAAAUCCAAGAUGUAAUUAAGAU
This is a long non-coding RNA of Terrapene triunguis (Three-toed box turtle), 531 nucleotides long. RefSeq lists it as uncharacterized. The record is from RefSeq and is a predicted model, not a curated record. Lineage: Eukaryota; Metazoa; Chordata; Testudines; Emydidae. The transcript has 3 exons.